GUGGCAAAUCGGUACGACUAGCUCCUGCCAAACUCCCCCAGGUCCGGAAGGAAGCAAGGGUAGGCGGUUGUAGCAGUGCGAUACUCGGUUUGCCUUUUU
This 99-nucleotide signal recognition particle RNA is filed under the name Cyclobacteriaceae bacterium. RNAcentral describes it as "signal recognition particle sRNA small type". It matches the Rfam family "Bacteroidales small SRP". Rfam says of the family: The non-coding component of the signal recognition particle in Bacteroides The record is from RNAcentral. Lineage: Bacteria; Pseudomonadati; Bacteroidota; Cytophagia; Cytophagales; Cyclobacteriaceae.